AAAUUGAAGAGUUUGAUCAUGGCUCAGAUUGAACGCUGGCGGCAGGCCUAACACAUGCAAGUCGAACGGUAACAGGAAGCAGCUUGCUGCUUCGCUGACGAGUGGCGGACGGGUGAGUAAUGUCUGGGAAACUGCCUGAUGGAGGGGGAUAACUACUGGAAACGGUAGCUAAUACCGCAUAACGUCGCAAGACCAAAGAGGGGGACCUUCGGGCCUCUUGCCAUCGGAUGUGCCCAGAUGGGAUUAGCUUGUUGGUGGGGUAACGGCUCACCAAGGCGACGAUCCCUAGCUGGUCUGAGAGGAUGACCAGCCACACUGGAACUGAGACACGGUCCAGACUCCUACGGGAGGCAGCAGUGGGGAAUAUUGCACAAUGGGCGCAAGCCUGAUGCAGCCAUGCCGCGUGUAUGAAGAAGGCCUUCGGGUUGUAAAGUACUUUCAGCGGGGAGGAAGGGAGUAAAGUUAAUACCUUUGCUCAUUGACGUUACCCGCAGAAGAAGCACCGGCUAACUCCGUGCCAGCAGCCGCGGUAAUACGGAGGGUGCAAGCGUUAAUCGGAAUUACUGGGCGUAAAGCGCACGCAGGCGGUUUGUUAAGUCAGAUGUGAAAUCCCCGGGCUCAACCUGGGAACUGCAUCUGAUACUGGCAAGCUUGAGUCUCGUAGAGGGGGGUAGAAUUCCAGGUGUAGCGGUGAAAUGCGUAGAGAUCUGGAGGAAUACCGGUGGCGAAGGCGGCCCCCUGGACGAAGACUGACGCUCAGGUGCGAAAGCGUGGGGAGCAAACAGGAUUAGAUACCCUGGUAGUCCACGCCGUAAACGAUGUCGACUUGGAGGUUGUGCCCUUGAGGCGUGGCUUCCGGAGCUAACGCGUUAAGUCGACCGCCUGGGGAGUACGACCGCAAGGUUAAAACUCAAAUGAAUUGACGGGGGCCCGCACAAGCGGUGGAGCAUGUGGUUUAAUUCGAUGCAACGCGAAGAACCUUACCUGGUCUUGACAUCCACAGAACUUUCCAGAGAUGGAUUGGUGCCUUCGGGAACUGUGAGACAGGUGCUGCAUGGCUGUCGUCAGCUCGUGUUGUGAAAUGUUGGGUUAAGUCCCGCAACGAGCGCAACCCUUAUCCUUUGUUGCCAGCGGUCCGGCCGGGAACUCAAAGGAGACUGCCAGUGAUAAACUGGAGGAAGGUGGGGAUGACGUCAAGUCAUCAUGGCCCUUACGACCAGGGCUACACACGUGCUACAAUGGCGCAUACAAAGAGAAGCGACCUCGCGAGAGCAAGCGGACCUCAUAAAGUGCGUCGUAGUCCGGAUUGAGUCUGCAACUCGACUCCAUGAAGUCGGAAUCGCUAGUAAUCGUGGAUCAGAAUGCCACGGUGAAUACGUUCCCGGGCCUUGUACACACCGCCCGUCACACCAUGGGAGUGGGUUGCAAAAGAAGUAGGUAGCUUAACCUUCGGGAGGGCGCUUACCACUUUGUGAUUCAUGACUGGGGUGAAGUCGUAACAAGGUAACCGUAGGGGAACCUGCGGUUGGAUCACCUCCUUACCUUAAAGAAGC
Molecule: ribosomal RNA, 1553 nt
Filed under: Shigella sonnei
Lineage: Bacteria; Pseudomonadati; Pseudomonadota; Gammaproteobacteria; Enterobacterales; Enterobacteriaceae
Description: bacterial SSU rRNA
Rfam family: Bacterial small subunit ribosomal RNA
Source: RNAcentral